Rhodamnia argentea is the source of this 481-nucleotide long non-coding RNA. RefSeq lists it as uncharacterized. Lineage: Eukaryota; Viridiplantae; Streptophyta; Magnoliopsida; Myrtales; Myrtaceae. The record is from RefSeq and is a predicted model, not a curated record. The transcript is spliced from 2 exons.
UCCCUGAAUCUCUGGAUUCACAGUCACUUUCCUUUUUCAUGUUGCCUCGUACAAGCCACCCGCCAGGAUCAGAUCACAUCCAGACACUGCAUCGUCUUCUCCCCGUUACACUUACUUUGCUAAGAUGGCCAAGCUUUCGUUCGCGCAGUUCUUCAUCGCGGCCCUCAUUUUUUCAGCCAUGUCCGUGUGUCCCCAUGCAGAGCCAGAGCGGUUGUGCACCGAGGUCAUAAAAUUCUAGAAGUGUACCCACCAGGCCUGUGUGGCGCAAUGUAAGAGCAACCACGGCGGCUUCUUCUGCCAAGCGAACUGCCAGCAAGACUACUUCAGCCCCCAGAUAAUCUGCUUAUGCUACCAUCACUGUUGAGUGCAUGAGCGCGCGGGUCGCGAUCUACUUUGCUCCCGUAAUAAGGCAAAUCAUAUGUCUCACCGUUUGAAUUCUGGACUUGAUCGAGUAAUAAUCAGUUUCUGAUCUUUGUUCCUA